RNAcentral lists this long non-coding RNA (387 nucleotides) under Capsella rubella. Its description in RNAcentral is "long non-coding RNA (CRUB_LNC005087)". Lineage: Eukaryota; Viridiplantae; Streptophyta; Magnoliopsida; Brassicales; Brassicaceae. The record is from RNAcentral.
UUUUUUUAAAAGUUAUGAACAAUCUACUAAAAUCUAGAAAAGUUACUACAAAGAAUCCACAAAUUUGGGUAAACAAAUUUAUUAGAAUCUAAAAUAAUCUUUGAGAAUUUUAAAAUCUAUCAACUUUUGAAAUCUACCAACUCUUUUGGAAUCAUUCUCCCAAUACCCCCCCCUUAGUCUCUUAUGCUGAAUCUCUUCUUCACUUUUAUUUAUUAAGAUGAGAGUAAAAAAAUAAAAUAAAAAUAUUUCUCACACAUCUAAGAUAAAUCCAAGCCUCUUUCACUAACCAUCAUCUCCACCAGUGAUAUUUGGUUAUCUUUAUCUCUAGUUAGGCCUCCAUCUAAUUACCACCGUCAUUGUACCCAAUCUGCCAUACCCAAUUGCCAC